GAUGAAGACGCAGCGAAAUGCGAUAAGUAAUGUGAAUUGCAGAAUUCAGUGAAUCAUCGAAUCUUUGAACGCACAUUGCGCCCCCUGGUAUUCCGGGGGGCAUGCCUGUUCGAGCGUCAUUUCACCACUCAAGCCUCGCUUGGUAUUGGGCAACGCGGUCCGCCGCGUGCCUCAAAUCGACCGGCUGGGUCUUCUGUCCCCUAAGCGUUGUGGAAACUAUUCGCUAAAGGGUGUUCGGGAGGCUACGCCGUAAAACAACCCCAUUUCUAAGGUUGACCUCGGAUCAGGUAGGGAUACCCGCUGAACUUAAGCAUAUCAAAAAGCGGAGGA
Molecule: unclassified non-coding RNA, 330 nt
Filed under: soil metagenome
Description: partial contains 5.8S ribosomal RNA, internal transcribed spacer 2, and large subunit ribosomal RNA
Rfam family: 5.8S ribosomal RNA (bases 1-119)
Source: RNAcentral